AUAUUGCUCCAUCCCAUACCCUCAUCUUUUAUUUCAAGCAUCCUGUUAGGCUUCUUAGCAAAAUCUUGUUGUCUGUUGGGGUGUCUGGCCCUGGCUUCCAGGAUGGGCUUGUCAAGCAAGUCUGAUCCAAUUCCAUUUUCCUCUGUUCCACAGCUUUCUAGAACUUCACAUCUCAUUGCUGGGCCAUUAGAGAUGUCCAAGGGGCUCCUUGGAAAUUCAGAGAUGCUGAAAGCUGGCUGUGUGUGGAGAAUGAUGGUACAUCUUAGGAGAUG
RNAcentral lists this microRNA precursor (272 nucleotides) under Myotis lucifugus (little brown bat). RNAcentral describes it as "miRNA (ENSMLUG00000022389.1)". Lineage: Eukaryota; Metazoa; Chordata; Mammalia; Chiroptera; Vespertilionidae. The record is from RNAcentral.